This 236-nucleotide unclassified non-coding RNA is filed under the name uncultured Mortierella. RNAcentral describes it as "sequence contains ITS2". The record is from RNAcentral. Lineage: Eukaryota; Fungi; Mortierellomycota; Mortierellomycetes; Mortierellales; Mortierellaceae.
AAACACCCUCAACCUUUUCUUUAUUGAAAAGGUUGGACUUGAGUGAUCCCAACGGUUUUUUUUAAAAGGCUGGCGGGUUGCUUGAAAUGCAGGUGCGGCUGGACACAUCUUCUGAGCUAUAAGCAUUACCUAUUUAGUCCCGUCAAACGGAUUAUUUCUAUUGCUACAGCUAAUAUAAAGGUUGAUUGUCCUGUGCCCGACUGAUGCAGGAAAACAUGGAGAAAUCCUUGUUCAAC